GUGCUCACUUCCAGAGCACAUAUACUAAAAUUUGAAUGAUACAGAGAAGAGUUGCUAGGUCCCUGCUCAAGGACGACAUUCUAAUUUGUGGUUUCUUUCUAAUUUGU
Phodopus roborovskii (desert hamster) is the source of this 107-nucleotide small nuclear RNA. NCBI's taxonomy places the organism in Eukaryota, Metazoa, Chordata, Mammalia, Rodentia, Cricetidae. The record is from RefSeq and is a predicted model, not a curated record.